AACGAACGCUGGCGGCAGGCCUAACACAUGCAAGUCGAACGCUGUAGCAAUACAGAGUGGCAGACGGGUGAGUAACGCGUGGGAACCUUCCCAAUGGUGCGGAAUAGCCCAGGGAAACUUGGGGUAAUACCGCAUAAGCCCUUAGGGGGAAAGAUUUAUCGCCAUUGGAUGGGCCCGCGUCGGAUUAGCUAGUUGGCGGGGUAAUGGCUCACCAAGGCAACGAUCCGUAGCUGGUUUGAGAGAAUGACCAGCCACACUGGGACUGAGACACGGCCCAGACUGCGACGGGAGGCAGCAGUGGCGAAUCUUGGACAAUGGGCGCAAGCCUGAUCCAGCCAUGCCGCGUGAGUGACGAAGGCCUUAGGGUUGUAAAGCUCUUUUGCCGGGGACGAUAAUGACGGUACCCGGAGAAUAAGUCCCGGCUAACUUCGUGCCAGCCGCCGCGGUAA
This 449-nucleotide ribosomal RNA is filed under the name uncultured bacterium. Its description in RNAcentral is "partial 16S ribosomal RNA". It matches the Rfam family "Bacterial small subunit ribosomal RNA", at positions 29 to 523 of the family's 1533-position model. The record is from RNAcentral.